UGAAUGUUUUUUUCUCUUCUUAAUUUGCUUCUGUCAGUCUAUCAUAAUUGUCCAGGCAGUUCUGAAGUUUGGUCAAUGCAAGGUUGGGGAAAUGCUUGGGAUGCAGGAAAAAUUUCCCCUGGCUUGAACUUGGUUAUCCCUUCAUGUAGUGCUGCCACCUCAUUAAUGACUUCUAACCUCCUUUUCUAAUUUAGGAAGUUUGAAUUCUCCCACAUCUUGGCUUCUUUGCUGGUAUCCUGGUUCCCCGAUGCUUUGACCAACUGCCAUCCGCAAGUGGGCUUCUAACACUAUCACCUCUGUGCUUCAAGGAUAUCAGAAUAACAUAACUUUCAGCUCAUUUUUAACCAUCUGCCGCUCUGGGAGCUGCUUCCCUUUCUGCAUACCACCUCUUACAGAAUAGUGGACAAAGUCACUUGCCCUCGGUCAAUUGUGUUCGUGUUGAGGAUGGAGGUAGAGUUCAAUGGGACCAGAAUCAAAGAUGAGAUCCCAGGUUUCCUCACCAUCCUGGUGGAAAUGUUGCAUUCCUUAAAGGAUGAAUUAGUACUAAGGGAACUUACAGCUGCAAUCCAGCACCUGACCAACCUGGCUCCAAAAACUGUGGUGCCCUGCCUCCUGAAAAAUCCACUUCCAUUUGACAGGCCUGAAGAAGGAGACAAAGCUAGGGCUCAAGUCUCAGGACCCCGUCCCUCCAUUUCCCAAGAUGAGUCUAAGAGUUAACCAAACUUUAUUUUUUGGGCUGCUGAUUACAAGUAGCCUCAUCUCUUUGUGACCUCUGCUGAAAGUGAACCCAAUUGUUUUCUCUCAUUUCUCUUCAGGAAACACAGGCCUUAUGGGAGGGAGGUCACUGCUGUGCUAGAGGUUAAGGAAACUCUAGAGGGAUUAGAGGAUAAACUUUUCACCACCUAUUUCCUUUCCCUUCCACACUUGAGCAGAAUGCAAGCUUCUGCAUCCAAGGCCCAGAGCACCAAUGAACUAGCUUUG
RNAcentral lists this long non-coding RNA (981 nucleotides) under Phascolarctos cinereus (koala). Its description in RNAcentral is "lncRNA (ENSPCIG00000024749.2)". Lineage: Eukaryota; Metazoa; Chordata; Mammalia; Diprotodontia; Phascolarctidae. The record is from RNAcentral.